RNAcentral lists this non-coding RNA (116 nucleotides) under Drosophila pseudoobscura. RNAcentral's name for it is "microRNA dps-mir-1002 precursor". The stretch from base 15 to 103 matches the Rfam family "mir-1002 microRNA precursor family". RNAcentral also lists the same sequence under 1 other name. The record is from miRBase by way of RNAcentral. Lineage: Eukaryota; Metazoa; Arthropoda; Insecta; Diptera; Drosophilidae.
GGCAGGUCCUCUCAAAAUAAUCGGGCACCUAAGUAGUUGAUACAAGGGCGAUAAUGUAAAAGAACUUUCGCAUUGUGUGACCUACUUAAAUGCUCGAUUGUUUCAAGCAACCUCUA